CCCUUAGAUGUUCUGGGCCGCACGCGCGCUACACUGAUGCAUUCAACAAGUUCUACCUUGGCCGAGAGGCCUGGGAAAUCUUUCAAAUAUGUAUCGUGAUAGGGAUAGAUUAUUGCAAUUAUUAAUCUUGAACGAGGGAUUCCUAGUAAAUGCAGAUCAUCAUUCUGCGUUGAUUACGUCCCUGCCCUUUGUACACACCGCCCGUCGCACCUACCGAUUGAAUGAUCCGGUGAAGCCUCGGGAUUGUGCCCAGAGAACUUUAUUGUGAUUUGGGUGUGAGAACUUGUCUAAACCUUAUCAUUUAGAGGAAGGUGAAGUCGUAACA
This 325-nucleotide ribosomal RNA is filed under the name uncultured eukaryote. RNAcentral describes it as "partial 18S ribosomal RNA". It matches the Rfam family "Eukaryotic small subunit ribosomal RNA", at positions 1470 to 1796 of the family's 1831-position model. The record is from RNAcentral.